Long non-coding RNA from Esox lucius (northern pike), 1454 nucleotides. Lineage: Eukaryota; Metazoa; Chordata; Actinopteri; Esociformes; Esocidae. The record is from Ensembl.
UCAUUAGUUAUUUUAUUUAUUAGGUGAUUGAAAAGCAAUCUCUACAAUCUGCUGUCAUUCAUUUAUUUUCAACAGUAAAAACCCCUGGGAGAGUUCCCGUCACUUUACAAUCCAUAUCUCAACAGGUUGUUUCAGCAGGUAUAAAGUAUCUAAACAGAAAAACACAAAUCAAGCAGAAUAUGAAAGCCCAUUUUCUGAUUUGAGUAUUUCUAGAUUCCUGUGUGUUUCUUAAUCGCAUCAAGCCAUAUUUAGAACAACAUUGUCCAUUUUCCAAAAUGCUGCUCCCCCUCUCAAAACAUAAAUACUGUACAUUCAUCUUAGCAAUGCUUUACAAUUACAUUCAGCAAAGGAACAUAACAGCAAGAAACUAACACAAAGACACAGUAAUCUUGAUAGAAACAAAAGGUUAAAAAAAAGUGAAAAAACUAAAGGUUAGUCUGUCUUGUAAAAAUCCCAGUAGAUCAAUAUUGUCUUGGUGGUCACUUGAUCAUAAUUAUCACCAUUGGAUGUACAACUAUGAAGGGCUGCUGAAUUAUAUAUAAUAUAUAUCAUUAUUUAAUACGCAUUUCACCAAAUUCAUACACAACAAUUAUACAAUUUCUGAUUGAGAAGGAAACGGAAAGUAAACACUCCGUAUGCGGCAUUCAUUCAUUGUUAUCACCACAGUCAAAAUCCAUGUGUUCAGUACAGAGGCUGUUCUACUCUCGGAGACUGUCAGUUGACAAGCAGGGAUCCACCAUAGAAAAUCAGGAAGGCAAACACAGCGAAGGAACACGACUGUUAAGAAUGCACAGGCCUCAACCCUGACUGAAGUACAGCAUGGUAAAACAAGAAAGGUCACAGGAGGGAUAUACUGAAGUAGUGUUUAGAUUGCUGGAACAUCUGAAACCUCCUCCUCUGUAAACAGAAAAUUUUAGAUUUAGAUUUUGUAUUUACUGAUAACAAUUUUAAGUUUAGCUAUAAAGAUCAAAUCCAGGUCGAAGUCCCCAAGCAUUAUGUAAUAGCUAUACUUAAACUAUUACUUAUUGUUUCAAGCUGCCUGCAAGAAGAAAAUUCCACUCCAGUUUGAUGAAAUGUCUACUGAAAUAAUAUAGUAUUAACAUUGUGUUAUCAUUAAAUUAUAUGAUUCUUAACUGUCAUCAAGCGCAAAAUAUUUUGUAUCUACAGUAUCUGCAACCUCUUUCUCAGGUACUAAUCUGAUCUCACUGUGGUUCUAGAAGGGCAGAGCUGUGUUCUACUGGUAUGAAGUAUACUCCUGGGGCAUCUUUUGGGGGUUCUUCAGAGUGAAAUUGUGGCAGAACCUCUAUUGAUUAUUCAAAUAAUCCCCUUUUAAUGGUUCCUCAAAAAAAUUAUUUGAAAUAACCUUUCAAAAUGUUCUUUUGAUGACAUACAAUGCCCUGAAUUCCCCAACAGUUUCAAUGUGAAGAACAUUGGGUUCCCCAGCAUUUUCAAUG